RNAcentral lists this ribosomal RNA (311 nucleotides) under uncultured eukaryote. RNAcentral describes it as "partial 18S ribosomal RNA". It matches the Rfam family "Eukaryotic small subunit ribosomal RNA", at positions 1470 to 1796 of the family's 1831-position model. The record is from RNAcentral.
CCCCUAGACGUUCUGGGCUGCACGCGCGCUACAAUAAUACGCACAGCGAGUAUCACCGAGCGCGAAAGGGCAAGGUAAACAAUAGAAAAGGUACUGUAAUGGUUAUAGAUCCUUGUAAUUAUUGAUCUUCAACGAGGAAUUCCUAGUAAGUAUGUGUCAUCAUCACGCACUGAUUACGUCCCUGCCCUUUGUACACACCGCCCGUCGCUCCUACCGAUUGGGUGAGCCGAUGAAACUCUCGGAUGUAGGCUAUUCAUAGCCCGCAGAAGAGAUUUGAAUCGUAGCGCUUAGAGGAAGGAGAAGUCGUAACA